CAGUCGCCGCGGUAAGGCGAACCGUGCGAACGUUAUUCGGAAUCACUGGGCUUAAAGCGCGUGUAGGCGGGAGGGCACGUCCGUCGCUGAAAUCCCCCGGCUCAACCGGGGAACGGGCGCGGAUACGACUCUUCUGGAGGAACGUAGGGGGACCUGGAACUUCCGGUGGAGCGGUGAAAUGCGUUGAGAUCGGAAGGAACGCCCGUGGCGAAAGCGAGGUCCUGGACGUUUACUGACGCUGAGACGCGAAAGCCAGGGGAGCGAACGGGAUUAGAGACCCCCGUAGUCCCUGUCUCUUAUA
This 301-nucleotide ribosomal RNA is filed under the name uncultured bacterium. RNAcentral describes it as "partial 16S ribosomal RNA". It matches the Rfam family "Bacterial small subunit ribosomal RNA", at positions 509 to 807 of the family's 1533-position model. The record is from RNAcentral.